RNAcentral lists this ribosomal RNA (1267 nucleotides) under Microbacterium testaceum. Its description in RNAcentral is "bacterial SSU rRNA". It matches the Rfam family "Bacterial small subunit ribosomal RNA", at positions 80 to 1359 of the family's 1533-position model. The record is from RNAcentral. Lineage: Bacteria; Bacillati; Actinomycetota; Actinomycetes; Micrococcales; Microbacteriaceae.
UUGCUUGGUGGAUCAGUGGCGAACGGGUGAGUAACACGUGAGCAACCUGCCCUGGACUCUGGGAUAAGCGCUGGAAACGGCGUCUAAUACUGGAUAUGAGACGUGAUCGCAUGGUCGUGUUUGGAAAGAUUUUUCGGUCUGGGAUGGGCUCGCGGCCUAUCAGCUUGUUGGUGAGGUAAUGGCUCACCAAGGCGUCGACGGGUAGCCGGCCUGAGAGGGUGACCGGCCACACUGGGACUGAGACACGGCCCAGACUCCUACGGGAGGCAGCAGUGGGGAAUAUUGCACAAUGGGCGGAAGCCUGAUGCAGCAACGCCGCGUGAGGGAUGACGGCCUUCGGGUUGUAAACCUCUUUUAGCAGGGAAGAAGCGAAAGUGACGGUACCUGCAGAAAAAGCGCCGGCUAACUACGUGCCAGCAGCCGCGGUAAUACGUAGGGCGCAAGCGUUAUCCGGAAUUAUUGGGCGUAAAGAGCUCGUAGGCGGUUUGUCGCGUCUGCUGUGAAAUCCCGAGGCUCAACCUCGGGCCUGCAGUGGGUACGGGCAGACUAGAGUGCGGUAGGGGAGAUUGGAAUUCCUGGUGUAGCGGUGGAAUGCGCAGAUAUCAGGAGGAACACCGAUGGCGAAGGCAGAUCUCUGGGCCGUAACUGACGCUGAGGAGCGAAAGGGUGGGGAGCAAACAGGCUUAGAUACCCUGGUAGUCCACCCCGUAAACGUUGGGAACUAGUUGUGGGGACCAUUCCACGGUUUCCGUGACGCAGCUAACGCAUUAAGUUCCCCGCCUGGGGAGUACGGCCGCAAGGCUAAAACUCAAAGGAAUUGACGGGGACCCGCACAAGCGGCGGAGCAUGCGGAUUAAUUCGAUGCAACGCGAAGAACCUUACCAAGGCUUGACAUAUACGAGAACGGGCCAGAAAUGGUCAACUCUUUGGACACUCGUAAACAGGUGGUGCAUGGUUGUCGUCAGCUCGUGUCGUGAGAUGUUGGGUUAAGUCCCGCAACGAGCGCAACCCUCGUUCUAUGUUGCCAGCACGUAAUGGUGGGAACUCAUGGGAUACUGCCGGGGUCAACUCGGAGGAAGGUGGGGAUGACGUCAAAUCAUCAUGCCCCUUAUGUCUUGGGCUUCACGCAUGCUACAAUGGCCGGUACAAAGGGCUGCAAUACCGUAAGGUGGAGCGAAUCCCAAAAAGCCGGUCCCAGUUCGGAUUGAGGUCUGCAACUCGACCUCAUGAAGUCGGAGUCGCUAGUAAUCGCAGAUCAGCAACGCUG